GCAUAUCAAUAAGCGGAGGAAAAGAAACCAACCGGGAUUGCCUCAGUAACGGCGAGUGAAGCGGCAAGAGCUCAAAUUUGAAAGCUGGCCCCUCCGGGGUCCGCGUUGUAAUUUGCAGAGGAUGCUUUGGGUGCGGCCCCCGUCUAAGUGCCCUGGAACGGGCCGUCAGAGAGGGUGAGAAUCCCGUCUUGGGCGGGGUGUCCGUGCCCGUGUAAAGCUCCUUCGACGAGUCGAGUUGUUUGGGAAUGCAGCUCUAAAUGGGUGGUAAAUUUCAUCUAAAGCUAAAUACUGGCCGGAGACCGAUAGCGCACAAGUAGAGUGAUCGAAAGAUGAAAAGCACUUUGAAAAGAGAGUUAAACAGCACGUGAAAUUGUUGAAAGGGAAGCGCUUGCGACCAGACUCGCCCUCGGGGUUCAGCCGGCACUCGUGCCGGUGUACUUCCCCGGGGGCGGGCCAGCGUCAGCUUGGGCGGCCGGUCAAAGGCCUCCGGAAUGUAGUGCCCCCCGGGGCACCUUAUAGCCGGAGGUGCAAUGCGGCCAGCCUGGGCUGAGGAACGCGCUUCGGCACGGACGCUGGCAUAAUGGUCGCAAACGACCCGUCUUGAAACACGGACCAAGGAGUCUAACAUCUACGCGAGUGUUCGGGUGUCAAACCCGUACGCGCAGUGAAAGCAAACGGAGGUGGGAGCCCCCUCGCGGGGCGCACCAUCGACCGAUCCUGAUGUCUUCGGAUGGAUUUGAGUAAGAGCGUAAAUGUGGGGACCCGAAAGAUGGUGAACUAUGCCUGAAUAGGGCGAAGCCAGAGGAAACUCUGGUGGAGGCUCGCAGCGGUUCUGACGUGCAAAUCGAUCGUCAAAUUGGGUAUAGGGGCGAAGAAUAAUCGAACCAUCUAGUAGCUGGUUCCUGCCGAAGUU
Molecule: ribosomal RNA, 913 nt
Filed under: Aspergillus niger
Lineage: Eukaryota; Fungi; Ascomycota; Eurotiomycetes; Eurotiales; Aspergillaceae
Description: LSU rRNA
Rfam family: Eukaryotic large subunit ribosomal RNA
Source: RNAcentral